CUGAUGGGUAAGAGGCCUGGGCAAGAAGAUCUCACAGUGCGUCAAGAUGAAAUAAAUGUUGGGAAAUAACUAGCCAGUUUAUGCUACAAGAUACAUGUCUUUAUAAUUGCAUGUAUGAUUUGUGAUUUCCUUUUACAUCAAGAAGAAGUCAGAAAGGAUUAUGUAUGAAAUUGAAUGGGAGAAAAUUGUGAUGUGCCAAGUAGAACAGAUUAGACAAUGUGAAAAUACUUUCAUUUCAACUGCAUGAAGAUUACAUAGAAGAAAAUACAGAUGAAGUUCUUUAUUGUUUCUCAUUCAUAGAAUUUAUUUCCACUAAGUUUUUUAAAAAAUGGGCAAAAGAAAGUGGAACUUCAACUGUUCCUUAGGACAAUAUGGACUGGUGUUUUUGAAGAAGCAAAGUGGAAAUGAUUAGACAGCAGGGACUCUUUGCAGAAAAACAUGAGAAGCAAAGAAAAAUUUCUCAGAAAAGGAGAUUUGAAGCACAAUUGUCAUCAGUUCAUAGAAGAAUUUUGAAGUUCUGUUUCCAGACGCCUAUAUCCUUUCCUUCUAGUUCUCUGCCUGCCCAGAGACUACAUCUUUAGAGAUGAGCAAAACUCUGCACUCUGCAAAAUCAGCACCCUCUGUCUAAUCAAAAGUUAACUUGGCCCAGGUUUUAGUUUCUCUGCUAAGUAUUGUUGGCAAGUAAUAUAAUAAAUCUUAUUACAGGAUACAGCUGAUUAUGUAUACAUUAUGUCUUUGGAUAAAUUUGCAUUUUAAGAGGAAGGCCAAGGAUGCCUUAAUUACAAACAUUGCAUUUUUGGUUAUUUAAAUAGUAUCUGGGAAAAUGGUGAAGAUAUAUAGGAAGUGAAGAAAGAUACCUGUAUCUUCCACGUGUGAAAGAUUAUCUCAGUAAAUAGAAUUGGCUACAUAUUCAUCUAUUAUAAUAAUACCAAAAAAGAAGAUACAUAUCUUCAAAGCUUAAGAAAAUUCAGAAUUUUUGUAGUCAGCAAAAUGAAUGGCAAAGAUAAUGAGAGAAUAAAGAUACAAAAAUGAGUAUUGAAAAAUAGAAUUCUGAUGGGAAAACUGUUAAUUUUUAAAAUUAUAUGUAAAGGUGAGGUUGCUGUUAAGCAUUUUACACCAAUAGAGAUAUCAAUUGGAAUAUUUUAUGUGAAGAAAAGAAUUAAUGGCUUAACUUUGUCAAUAAAGAAAGCAUCUACUUGU
This is a long non-coding RNA of Pongo pygmaeus (Bornean orangutan), 1200 nucleotides long. RefSeq lists it as uncharacterized. NCBI's taxonomy places the organism in Eukaryota, Metazoa, Chordata, Mammalia, Primates, Hominidae. The record is from RefSeq and is a predicted model, not a curated record. The transcript has 4 exons.